Molecule: non-coding RNA, 851 nt
Organism: Nelumbo nucifera (sacred lotus)
Lineage: Eukaryota; Viridiplantae; Streptophyta; Magnoliopsida; Proteales; Nelumbonaceae
Source: RefSeq, a predicted model, not a curated record
AAAACUGCCCAAAUAGACGGACACUUAGACUCCGUUUGGUUUGUAGGUUGGGAUGGAAAAAGAGAAAUAUUUUAAGAAUAUUUUUUUUCAAACAGGGGUGGGAUGAGAAAAAAAUAGGAUGCGAAAUCCCAAAAAUAAGGAUUUGGGGUCGCACCCAGUGAGAAAGGAAAACUCGAAGAUACAUCUGGGAAAAAAUAUCGGGCCUUGUCAGAGAGUAAGCUCCUUCGUCUUCUCCCAUCUACUUCCAGGCAUUCCAACGGUCAUACCUUCGGCAACUUUUCCGGCAUCUUUGAACAACGCCAUUUUUCCCAGGCAUUCCAGGAUCUCGAAGAAAAUCAUUGAGAACAGUGUUCCAUCCGUUUUGCCCAGGCAACGAGUUGGAAAUCAACACUCGCGACUUUUCAGUGAUUUUCGACUCUGUUCAAGCCGUUUUGCCCAGGCAUUCCAGGAUCUUGCAGAAACUCCAUUGUUCUUAAGCCGUUUUGCCCAGGCAUUCCAAGAGCUCGAAGAAAAUCACUUAACACAGAAACUGGACAUGUGAAGGCCAUUUGGGCUUUUCUGGAGUAGUCGCGAGUGUCCGGUGUCCCUCAUGAAGUAGUCAUAUGCCAAGAACACUUGGCAUUAUAGAGCAAUAGAGGCUGCAAACUUGUAGAAAUUUAUGAUAAACCUAUGACAAACUCAUGGACUAUGCAUUGAUUUCUUGAAAUCAAAAUUUCUCAUUUUGGGAUGUAUUUUUGAAGAUGUUAAGCCUCAAACUUAUAAGUUGAUAGUAACAAUAGCCAAUCAUGUUCUUUGUUUUGCGUGGUUAAUGCAUAUAAAAAUUAGAUCUGGAGAUCUUUGAAUUUGGAUAA